AUUGAACGCUGGCGGCAGGCCUAACACAUGCAAGUCGAACGAGUGGCGGACGGGUGAGUAAUGUCUGGGAAACUGCCCGAUGGAGGGGGAUAACUACUGGAAACGGUAGCUAAUACCGCAUACCAUCGGAUGUGCCCAGAUGGGAUUAGCUAGUAGGUGGGGGAAUGGCUCACCUAGGCGACGAUCCCUAGCUGGUCUGAGAGGAUGACAAGCAAAACGGGAAUGGGGACACGGUCCAGACUCCUACGGGAGGAAGAAGUGGGGAAUAUUGGACAAUGGGGGAAAGCCUGAGGCAGCCAUGCCGGGGGGAUGAAGAAGGACUUCGGGUUGUAAAGUACUUUCAGCGGGGAGGCGUUACCCGCAGAAGAAGCACCGGCUAACUCCGUGCCAGCAGCCGCGGUAAUUC
Molecule: ribosomal RNA, 406 nt
Filed under: uncultured bacterium
Lineage: Bacteria
Description: partial 16S ribosomal RNA
Rfam family: Bacterial small subunit ribosomal RNA
Source: RNAcentral